This is a long non-coding RNA of Ylistrum balloti, 296 nucleotides long. RefSeq lists it as uncharacterized. The record is from RefSeq and is a predicted model, not a curated record. The transcript has 3 exons. Lineage: Eukaryota; Metazoa; Mollusca; Bivalvia; Pectinida; Pectinidae.
CAAUCAUUGAUGAUGAGAAUUUAGCAAGUGUGGGUGAACAGAAUCAAGCAACCAUGGACAACAGGUGCAGGAAUGGCCGUUUGUCUCAUUCUUUGAGAAGAAAAGAGGGGGUUGGGUGAUGGGUUCAUUAAAGCAUGCCAUCAUCACCGCUGAUAUUUUAUCUAAAUUGGACCCCCCACAAAUUGAGAUGUAUGGAUCCAGAAUGUUAUACAAAUUUGAAAUGGUGUGAAGAUGAGAACAGAAGAAAUAAUGAAAUUCAUAAAUUGGAAAUAAACUUUUGAAGAAAUACAUAAAAA